UGGGAUGCUAUUCUACACUAGAUACCUGAAUUUCAAACAGACUUAUCAUAACAAAAAUUACAAACCUUGAUUAAAAACAUACAAAGCAAGGUGCAGCACAAAAAGAUUCCGGCCACACACAAUAUGGGAGGGAAAGUUGGCAGCAGAUAUGCUAGCCCUGCUUGCUACAGUAUUUUUUCAGCUUUUUCUCACCAUUUUCAAAAAACUCCGUUCCUUCAUCUCUUUGUUCCAAUAAUGGAAAAGCAUCCGCUCCUUCUCAAGUGUUCGGAAUUUUCUUUUCUUCAAAUAUUCAAGGCCUUCUCUUUAAUUUCAUCUUCCCCGGACACCGCCAAUAGCGGUAGCUUUAGUGCACCGAGCUGUCCUUUUUUUUUUUGCCGCAAUAUUCGCGCUAAUCUACUUUUGAAUCUCUUUUAAUUUCCCUAAUUUCAUAACUUAGGUGGUUUUUGUUUUUCCUAAUCUCUUUUGAUUGGAAUGUUGGAGCUGUUAUUUAAAUGUUGCAGUAAAAGCUUGGCUAUUUUCCUUAAUAUUCAUCAGGCUAGACACAUGUAAAACAUAUAAUCUAAAAUACAAUUCUAGAAAUCAAAAGCAAUAUGUAUCCUUUAAAAAAAUAUAUUCUUCAUACAAAUAAAAUCAAAGAAAGUUCAAUACAAAUUGAAAGGUGACAAAUUUUUGUAUAGUUGGACAAGAUCUACAGUGAAAAUUUAAGAUUGCUAAUAUAUGAAAAUAGAAGACACCUAAAUAGAUUGUGGAAUAUAGGGUCUAUAUUGUUCCAUUCUGUCAACUGAGAGCUAGGUAUAGAUAGAGUUCUUUUAGGAUAUAGAACAAGGUAGAAUGCAUUUUAAAUCUCGCUUCUGAUUCAUUUUCUCUUGUGUGAGUGUCUUUCUUUCUAUACAUAUGCAUACAUAAAAAUAUGUGUUACAUUACAUAUCCUUCUUGCUGAUGGGCUGACCGUAAUUUAUUCAUUACGUCCUCAUGCAUGUUUGCUGAAGAUGCAGAAAAAGCAAAUUUCGUGGAAUUAAUUGGGUUUCUGAGUCAUUGUAUCUUUUAGUUUGAUUUGGUGAAAUAUUGGUGUGUAGGUUGAGCGGCUAUAAAAUAUGAAGAAUUCUAUAUCUGAACAGUGUUUCUACAUGGAGAGUGAAGAAAAGGAUGAUGAAAAUUUGGAAAGGGAUGAAAAUGAAGAAGGAAAUGAGUCUGAUUUUUCCAAUUACUCCAAUGACAAUGAUUGAUGAAAAUAAUCGCCAACAGAGCAAACCCAAUUCCUU
RNAcentral lists this long non-coding RNA (1262 nucleotides) under Capsicum annuum. RNAcentral's name for it is "long non-coding RNA (CANN_LNC020046)". Lineage: Eukaryota; Viridiplantae; Streptophyta; Magnoliopsida; Solanales; Solanaceae. The record is from RNAcentral.